Molecule: unclassified non-coding RNA, 378 nt
Filed under: uncultured Pseudomonadota bacterium
Lineage: Bacteria; Pseudomonadati; Pseudomonadota
Description: uncultured proteobacterium contains 16S-23S intergenic spacer region
Source: RNAcentral
UCUCGGCUUAUCACCGGCAGUCCCCCUAGAGUGCCCAACUGAAUGAUGGCAACUAAGGGCGAGGGUUGCGCUCGUUGCGGGACUUAACCCAACAUCUCACGACACGAGCUGACGACAGCCGUGCAGCACCUGAACCAGAGGUCCCCGAAGGGAAGACUUUAUUUCUAAAGGUGUCCUCUGUUGUCUAGCCCGGGUAAGGUUCUUCGCGUUGCGUCGAAUUGAACCACAUGCUCCACCGCUUGUGCGGGCCCCCGUCAAUUCCUUUGAGUUUUAACCUUGCGGCCGUACUCCCCAGGCGGAUAACUUAACGCGUUAGCUGCGCCACCGAAACUCUAAGAGCCCCGACAGCUAGUUAUCAUCGUUUACGGCGUGGACUAC